Molecule: long non-coding RNA, 415 nt
Organism: Myotis daubentonii (Daubenton's bat)
Lineage: Eukaryota; Metazoa; Chordata; Mammalia; Chiroptera; Vespertilionidae
Source: RefSeq, a predicted model, not a curated record
AAUAUUAAUAACAUUAAGUGUGAUAACUAGCUGAACUAGUAAUGUGCUAAUACAGGGAACACAAUAGAAUCUGUCCAAUUGCAUCAUGCUAUAAGGAAGAGAUUUCUGGAGACUGCUCUAGAAAAAGGUAGCAUGAGAAGGGGAGCUGGGAAAACUAUUAUUAAGUAAGUAAUCAACUGGCAGCAACUCAAUUAUAUUCACAUUUGUAUUUUUGUCAUCUGAAGAAGCAAACUAUUAAGACCACCUACAUCUCAGAUGCACACUUAAGAUUAAAGCAUACUAUGUCUAUUAGGUCAUUUUCACACAUGGCUGAUUCCAGGUCAGCAAUUUAUUUUUGGAUAUAGAAAACUAGCCUUGCUCACUCUCAAUAAGUUCUUUAGAAAACAUUUAUUCUUCAAUAAAAAGGUGGGGGGGG